UACGAAGGGGGCUAGCGUUGCUCGGAUUGACUGGGCGUAAAGGGCGCGUAGGCGGAUAGUACAGUCAGGCGUGAAAUUCCUGGGCUCAACCUGGGGGCUGCGUUUGAUACGUAUUGUCUGGAGUUCGGAAGAGGGUCGUGGAAUUCCCAGUGUAGAGGUGAAAUUCGUAGAUAUUGGGAAGAACACCGGUGGCGAAGGCGGCGACCUGGUCCGAUACUGACGCUGAGGCGCGAAAGCGUGGGGAGCAAAC
This 250-nucleotide ribosomal RNA is filed under the name uncultured bacterium. RNAcentral describes it as "partial 16S ribosomal RNA". It matches the Rfam family "Bacterial small subunit ribosomal RNA", at positions 524 to 773 of the family's 1533-position model. The record is from RNAcentral.